AUGCCGUCACUGUUGCACGUAUGCACUCUGACAGUCCUUGGGGCUUUAUGUGUGUAUGGUGCAGGUCAUCUAGAGCAACCUCAACUCUCCAGUACCAAAAAGCUGUCCAAAACAGCCCGCCUGGAAUGCGUGGUAUCUGGUGUAACCAUUUCUAAAAUGUCUGUAUAUUGGUAUCAAGAAAGACCUGGUCAAGCCAUGCAGCACCUGCUACACAUUUUAUCUAACAACACCGUCAAAAGGGAAUCAGACGUUACACUGGGCAAGUUUGAGGCAGACAAGAUACCCGAGACUUCUACGUCGACCCUCACCAUUCACAAUGUACGGGAACAAGACGCGGCCAUCUACUAUUGUGCCCUCUGGGAAGUGCACAGUAGCAGACCUUAG
Molecule: non-coding RNA, 384 nt
Organism: Balaenoptera acutorostrata (minke whale)
Lineage: Eukaryota; Metazoa; Chordata; Mammalia; Artiodactyla; Balaenopteridae
Source: the annotation of a RefSeq genome assembly